CUUAUCACAAAGCUAGUUCGUCUUUGUGUAUGUUUAAAUUUAUAUUUUUUAUACUUAUUGUGCUGUUUAACUUUCUUAUAAAAAAGAGUGAGGAAUUAAAAAGGUGGCCACCGAACAGAAAGUUAAACUGCUGCAAUAUACUAUAAUCUUUUUAGUUCUUGUUUACAUUUUUAACUCAUAAAUUAUGAAUAUAAAAUUUCAAAUUAAUUGAAAUUCAAAAAUAAAAGAACACCAACCUAGAUUUCUUAAACGAUAAAAUUUUACUAUAAGUUUAAAUGACAUGUAAUAAGCACAUUAGUUAAAGUUUUAUAGGAACCGAACAUUUGGCUGGAUCAUGGACUACACACCGACGGAGAAUUUGUCAUUGAGCUGAAGGAAAAUGAGUCGGCACUCGGCUUCGUUUCAACCCGGAGGAAGAUUGGCAGCAUCAAUAGACGUUCAUCUUAAUGUCAACUGUUGAAAAAACAGAACAUUUAACUGGAUCAUGGACUAUCCACCGACGAAGAAUUUGUCAUUGAGCUGAAGGAAAAUGUGUCGGCACUCGGCUUCGUUUCAACCCGGAGGAAGAUUUGCAGCAUCAAAAAGAAAUUCAACUGACGAUAAUCUACUGUCGAAAUGAAGAAGAAUUUGUCAUUGAGCUGAUGGAAAAUGUGUCGGCACUCGGCUUCGUUUCAACCUGGAGGAAGAUUAGCAUCAUCAAUAGACGUUCAUCUUAAUGUCAACUGUUGAAAGGAUUUGUUUGCAUUAUAAUAUAAGUUUAAAAUACAUUUAAUCUGCAUAUUAUUUGAAGUUUAAUAGGAACGGAAUAUUUAACUGGAUCAUGGACGACUAUCCACCGACGAAGAAUUUUUCAUAGAGCUGAUGGAAAAUGUGUCGGCACUCGGCUUCGUUUCAACAUGGAGGACGUCUGGCAGCAGCAAAAAGAAAUUCAACUGACGAUAAUCUACUGUCGAAAGUAUUUGUUGUGAAGAAGAAUUUGUCACAAAGCUGAUGGGAAAUGUGUCGGCACUCGGCUUCGUUUCAACCCGGAGGAAGAUUAGCAGCAUCAAUAGAAACUCAUCUUAAUGUCAACUGUUGAAAAAACAGAACAUUUAACUGGAUCAUGGACUAUCCACCGACGAAGAAUUUGUCAUUGAGCUGAAGGAAAAUGUGUCGGCACUCGGCUUCGUUUCAACCCGGAGGAAGAUUUGCAGCAUCAAAAAGAAAUUCAACUGACGAUAAUCUACUGUCGAAACUAUUUUGAAGAAGAAUUUGUCACAAAGCUGAUGGGAAAUGUGUCGGCUGUAUUUCAAUACGGAGGACGUCUGGCAGCAGCAAAUAGAAAUUCAACUGAUGAUCAACUGCCCAAAGGAUUUGUUGUGAAGAAGAAUUUGUCAUUGUGCUGAUGGAAAAUGUGUCGGCACUUCAACAAGGAGGACGUCUUGCAGCAUUAGAAUAUAAGUUUAAUUUAGUUUUCCCCUUACGCAUUAGCGCUCAUCUCUCAUCCACUCAUCCAACACAUUGACUAUCGCCGGCCGGCAACACACACAUAUUAUACACAUUACCCGUUUUAUAUUAUAUAGAAUUAUUAAUAUCUACAUAUAGUUUAAGUUAUUGUAUAUUUUUUUUUUUAUUAUUUGAAUGCAUUUAUAUGAUCAGUUGCGUAUUUAGAAAUUGUAUGAUAAGGGCAACACAUAUUUUGCUGCCUCCCUCCCAUUAAAAAAAAAAUUAAAAUGCCUCGCAUUGGUCAAACUGUUAAUACCAUAGAAUACCAUGUUAUAUACUUAUAUAAACAUUAUAGUAUUUUACACCUCUA
Long non-coding RNA from Rhopalosiphum padi (bird cherry-oat aphid), 1795 nucleotides. RefSeq lists it as uncharacterized. The transcript is spliced from 7 exons. The record is from RefSeq and is a predicted model, not a curated record. Lineage: Eukaryota; Metazoa; Arthropoda; Insecta; Hemiptera; Aphididae.